RNAcentral lists this ribosomal RNA (723 nucleotides) under Bacillus sp. (in: firmicutes). Its description in RNAcentral is "bacterial SSU rRNA". It matches the Rfam family "Bacterial small subunit ribosomal RNA", at positions 56 to 762 of the family's 1533-position model. Lineage: Bacteria; Bacillati; Bacillota; Bacilli; Caryophanales; Bacillaceae. The record is from RNAcentral.
UGCAGUCGAGCGACCGACGGGAGCUUGCUCCCUUAGGUUAGCGGCGGACGGGUGAGUAACACGUGGGUAACCUGCCUGUAAGACUGGGAUAACUCCGGGAAACCGGGGCUAAUACCGGAUGCUUGAUUGAACCGCAUGGUUCAAUUAUAAAAGGUGGCUUUUAGCUACCACUUACAGAUGGACCCGCGGCGCAUUAGCUAGUUGGUGAGGUAACGGCUCACCAAGGCGACGAUGCGUAGCCGACCUGAGAGGGUGAUCGGCCACACUGGGACUGAGACACGGCCCAGACUCCUACGGGAGGCAGCAGUAGGGAAUCUUCCGCAAUGGACGAAAGUCUGACGGAGCAACGCCGCGUGAGUGAUGAAGGUUUUCGGAUCGUAAAACUCUGUUGUUAGGGAAGAACAAGUACCGUUCGAACAGGGCGGUGCCUUGACGGUACCUAACCAGAAAGCCACGGCUAACUACGUGCCAGCAGCCGCGGUAAUACGUAGGUGGCAAGCGUUGUCCGGAAUUAUUGGGCGUAAAGCGCGCGCAGGCGGUUUCUUAAGUCUGAUGUGAAAGCCCCCGGCUCAACCGGGGAGGGUCAUUGGAAACUGGGGAACUUGAGUGCAGAAGAGGAGAGUGGAAUUCCACGUGUAGCGGUGAAAUGCGUAGAGAUGUGGAGGAACACCAGUGGCGAAGGCGACUCUCUGGUCUGUAACUGACGCUGAGGCGCGAAAGCGU